UUUGGGUUUUCAUUCAUGGAGUAAAUGAACGUAGAAUCCGAGAAUGUGAGGCUGGAUGCAACGGUUCAUUUACCGGCGAUUCAGCGAACGAACCCUCCGUUCCCAGUUAUUACUCUGACGGUUCAGAUAUUCUCAUUUGCAAACCCUAUCUUCAUUCAGCCUCCCGUUCCUCUCCAUCACCUGCAACUCCACAGCUUUAUGUCGAGGAUCGAUUUGGUUCAUCUUAAUCUUAUUUUGAAAGGGAAGCUGAUUUGGGAACCCUAAAAUACUAUGCAUCGCUCUGUAAGUUUAUUUCAAAUUCAGUUUUGAUGAAGCUAAUUUUAUGUUAUGUUGACUUCUUUUACUUCUUGGAAAGCCCAAAAUACUCGCGGGUCUCCCAACCAUUAAGGUGAAUUUAAUUUAUAAGUUUCAUUGUUUUGCUUUUUUGCAAUUGGGUGUUUAGGAAAGCUGAUACUUUUGCGCUUUCGAUACAUUUUAGUUCAAAUGUUAUUUUUUUAAACCGCUGCAAAAUCAGGUAUAUUUGUAUAAGAAAGGGUAUAUUUGUCAAUUCAGUAUGUGGGUUUUUGAGGAUGCAGGGGUCAAGAUCAGUGAUGAAGUUCAAUUAAGAAUUUGAUGACUCCAAUUCAAUGAAUGAGAGAUUUAAUAAGAGUAAAGUGUGGGGUACUUAACGAAUUCCAAUGUAAUGAAUUUGAUGUCAGUCCGGACACUCGCUACAACGCGCGGACAUUCCCACUGUUUAUAAAAGUCUCUAAGAUUGAAGGGAGUGGGGCGUCUCCCCUGCCCAAGCCGCCCCAAGCCGCCUCGCACACUGCCCCCCAUCGGCGUCCCCCCUUUGGGCGUCCUCUUCUCGUCGCCAACUCCUCACACAAAUCUAGAAUUCCCCCCUACUUUGACCAAUUAUUGUUUUUUUUAAACCAAAUCACCUAUAUAUAUAACACUUUAUAUUUUUAAAUGGGUGUCACGUGUCGCAAGACGCCCUACCCAGUAAAGUUGCCCCACUCCCCCUUUUUUGCUCAAAAUCCUCUAAUCUGACGUGGCGCCACGUGUCGCAAGACGCCCUCUCAAAAGGAUGCCCCACUCCCUUUAGUCUAAAGUUAAAUAAAUACAUCAUCAAGUUUGUCUCAAUUUUUGUGUAAACUCAGUCAAUCGGGUUAAAAAAAUAAGAAAUGUAAAUCCUAAAUGCUUUGCAGCUAUCUGAAUUGUCCUUCCGUAACUUGACACAUGAGGAACCCUUACAUUGGGAUAAGAGAUGUAAAUUUUAAAUGCUUUGCAGCUAUUUAAAUUUACUCGUGAAGAUACUAUGUCUUGCUAUGCUUUUUAAUUGUUCUUAUUUUUCUUUUCGUAUAUUAUUAUUAUUGUUAUUGUUAUAAGUAAUGUGAAUGUACUGGUGAGUGAAGUAUAUUGGUCACUUGGUCCAAGAUAGGACUUCGUGGAGGCGUAGGAUUAGGGUUAAGGACUUCUAGAGGAUAUUGCAGGAAGGACUUAGGUGUAUUUUAGGACUUAAGUUUUUCUUAUUCUUUAAAUGACUUAACCGGUGAUUGACUUUCUUGUGUACAUGCCUGAAUGAUGUUCUAUGCUAUUAUACACGAUUUACAUUAUACUGUGUCAAUCUGAUCACUAGCUUGGUGUAGCUGACUUUUUUUUUUUCUAUAUUCUUUGACUUGAUGUGUUGGUUUGUUGUUUGUUUUGGAGCCGGGGGUCUCUUCUGGAAGCAGCCUCUCUAUCCCUAGGGAUAGAGGCAAGGUCUGUCUACAUCCCACCCUCCCCAGACCCUAUGAGUAGCAUCGCUAUUUGUGGGAUUUACUGGGUAUGGUUGUUGUUGUUGUUGUUGUUCCUUAUGCCGCCAAGAAGUUCUCCAAAAUUAGGGAUCUGUCGUAAUACGAAAGGGACCUGCCUUACUACUGAACAAUGCUUGUUGAACAAAAACAGGAAUGCGCAUCUGACCAAAGAACAAAUAGAAGAUGUGCUCAACUGUAACACCCUUGUUAUUUUAUAUGUAAAUACCACAAUUAGAUGUGUAGUUAGGACCACACAUAUUAUAUAA
This is a long non-coding RNA of Helianthus annuus (common sunflower), 2044 nucleotides long. RefSeq lists it as uncharacterized. The transcript has 3 exons. Lineage: Eukaryota; Viridiplantae; Streptophyta; Magnoliopsida; Asterales; Asteraceae. The record is from RefSeq and is a predicted model, not a curated record.